RNAcentral lists this ribosomal RNA (2010 nucleotides) under Triticum aestivum (bread wheat). RNAcentral describes it as "partial small subunit ribosomal RNA". The record is from RNAcentral. Lineage: Eukaryota; Viridiplantae; Streptophyta; Magnoliopsida; Poales; Poaceae.
UUGCCAAGUAGGAUAAAGGUUAAGAAAAGUCGAAGUCACGUCCAGACAUAGAUCAAUCAACAACAUCCUAAUAUCGAUGCGGACCAAGUUCGUGUUUGUUAAUCAUGCAUACAUUAGAGAGAGAGAGAGAGAGAGAGAGAGAGAGAGAGAGAGAGAGAGAGAGAGAGAGAGAGAGAGUAGUCAUGCAUUGAAGAUUUUUUGAAGGUAAGAUGUAUACAAAAGGAAGUAGGAGUCGAGUUAGUUAAAUGAGUAAAAGUAAUCGGUCCAAAAGUAUUUCAACUCGCGACGUAUACGUAUACCUGUACCUACCCUAGUGUUAUGUGUGCCGUCGUACGAAAUGGUAUCGUAAAAACAAAGAGUGGUGUUAGUAGAGGUUCUAGUAACGUUCUUAGUCUUGGUAAGCAGAAUGUGCGUUUCCUUUUUCUAGUGGUUAAUGAGACGCGGGCGGUGUUCAACACUCACCUCGAGGAGAUUACCGUCGGGACGAGUGUGAACACUGCGGGUUCUUCCCAAAUGUACGACGUUAGGUACUUGAUGUGUACUUCUACCCUUCACACAAGUGUCACUUGGAAAAGCCCGAUUUCUUCCACUGUAAAAAGAAACCCGGUCUCCAGUGAGGAGUAAAGAAGUUCCCUAGUGGUAGGCUCUAGCUAAAGCCCCUAUGUCGAUUCUAGUAACACGGGCAGGAGCCAGGUCCUCAAGACAAACCGCACCUGUACCGAUGGUCCUUACUCGUCUAGGCUAAAACAUGGUUCCGCUAUGUCGGCCGCUCCAAAGCUUCUCUACAAGUAAGGUACCAAACGUAUCACCUCCUGAUGAAACGCUUUACCUCUGUUUCACCAUGCCAACUAAAUUUCGUACUCGAACCGGUGGAUUAGCACAACUAGCGUUUGUCUACGAACGAACCGUUACUCUAGUUUCCGUUGUUGAACCUUCUUCACAGCUCUGAGGAGGUACUUGAUAAACUUUUGUCGAAGGUGUACUAGUUGAAUAAGAAGGGCGUGGAGGGUUAAGGCGGCGUGGUGGCUGCGCUGCCGCGUACGUUCCGACCCUCUCUAUGAGGUGCUCUAUCAGUCUAGUGCAUCUUCUUAAUCGGGUCAGGCUCAGUACCUGUCGUUACUACUGCUGCUUCCGCUACACAACGUCUCGAAGUAUCUGAGUUUUAUGUCACUACCGGCUAGGUACUGUCUCUCGCUCUAGCAGCCCGAUGAGUAACGGUAGAACAAGCGGCCCGUCGUGUGCUCGAGUUCAUGGUCGUGGACCUGUCCUCGAACUGACGAUUCGUUAGUUUUCAUGUACUGUCGACGGUACCUUCUCGUCUUCUUUUAGUAACUCGUUUUACCUCUUGGGUAUCUGAUGUGGUAGAACAGUUUCUACCUAUGGAACGCAACGACAUAGUUUCUCCGUGACUCCGAAAUAAGAGGCUGCGGUAAUGAUGAAGCAGUACGUGUGUUCUCUAAGCGCCACGUUUGGUCUCUACCGUACCUUAUACUCUAAGGUUUUCCCGUACGAAAUCGUACGAGGUAUCGCCAGUCGUUGUUCAAUGGAAUGUAAAUAUUCUAGGGAUUAUACAUACUGGGUACGGCCAAACCGGGCCCCUCUCUUCUCCUGUUUUGGCCGCCGUUCAAAAGCCUGUAUAGAAAACCACGACCCUCCAUAAGAACGAACCCUGUCCUAAUACGAAAGUACGUUUAGUUCCAGUAUACCUCGAUAAACGACUCCUUGAAACUCGAACUCAACUAGAGAGGAAAGGGGCUCGAUCUCUUACUGUUUUAUAAUGGUCCUGGGUCCCCUUUUCACUGCCAAUGAAUAUCCUCUUCCAGUUAUCAAUUAAUCGUGCGUACGUGCAUUUGAUUGCUCAAACAUUAGUUUGACACACAACCACACAGUAACAAUAUGCGACCAUUAAUUAUGAGACAUAUACCGUUUAUAGACGAUUUUUUAGUUCUUGAUUAUCGUAUAUACACUUUUAUAGAGUGGUAGUCGCACCCACACACUCAUUACACCAGU